GCCUUCGUGGUGUAGUGGUCAGCACGCUUGACGUAUAUUCGAGAGGUCCGUAGUUCAAUUCCCGGUGAGGGCA
This 73-nucleotide transfer RNA is filed under the name Stegodyphus mimosarum. It matches the Rfam family "tRNA". From Rfam's summary of the family: Transfer RNA (tRNA) molecules are approximately 80 nucleotides in length. Lineage: Eukaryota; Metazoa; Arthropoda; Arachnida; Araneae; Eresidae. The record is from Rfam by way of RNAcentral.